GGGAAAAUAGCUCAAAUAGUAGAGCGUGUGCUUAGCAUGCAGAAGGUACUGGGUUCAAUCCCCAGUACCUCCU
This 73-nucleotide transfer RNA is filed under the name Camelus bactrianus (Bactrian camel). It matches the Rfam family "tRNA". From Rfam's summary of the family: Transfer RNA (tRNA) molecules are approximately 80 nucleotides in length. Their secondary structure includes four short double-helical elements and three loops (D, anti-codon, and T loops). RNAcentral also lists the same sequence under 2 other names. Lineage: Eukaryota; Metazoa; Chordata; Mammalia; Artiodactyla; Camelidae. The record is from Rfam by way of RNAcentral.